RNAcentral lists this transfer RNA (74 nucleotides) under Lophiolepis eriophora. RNAcentral describes it as "Cirsium eriophorum tRNA-Glu". It matches the Rfam family "tRNA". From Rfam's summary of the family: Transfer RNA (tRNA) molecules are approximately 80 nucleotides in length. Their secondary structure includes four short double-helical elements and three loops (D, anti-codon, and T loops). The record is from RNAcentral. Lineage: Eukaryota; Viridiplantae; Streptophyta; Magnoliopsida; Asterales; Asteraceae.
GCCCCUAUGGUCCAGCGGUUUAACGACUUCUCUCUUUCACGGAGACAACGAGGGUUCAAAUCCCUCUGGGGGUG